Non-coding RNA from Musa acuminata subsp. malaccensis (wild Malaysian banana), 1789 nucleotides. The record is from RefSeq and is a predicted model, not a curated record. NCBI's taxonomy places the organism in Eukaryota, Viridiplantae, Streptophyta, Magnoliopsida, Zingiberales, Musaceae.
UCUCUGGGCACCCAACGCAUACUUACCGUGUUGAGGGGGGGAGAGAGAGAGAGAGGACGACCUAAAGGACGACAGAAUAGCCACGAACAAAACCAGAAUCGCGAGGAUAAGGUGGUAACCAAGCAGAGGCCACAGACGUUGGAUGCACUUUUUGCAGAUAUGAAGCAGCAGAGGAUGAGGUUGAUGACCCAGCAAGCAUAUCGUGGUAAUGGCCAUCAACCUGCACAAAAGCGAAAUGCCCUGCACCAACAUCGUGGCAGAGGCAGAUCACCAAGUGGCUUCACGCAACAGUGUGGCAACUUCAGUAAAUGAUACCUACUCGUGUUUCUCUUAUCUGCUUAUGCAUAUUAAUAAUGUCCACGUUUCUCUCAUUCUGGAACUUCAGCUGGUUAGACAGUGUGUAAGGAGGAUCCAUCCUGUUCUAUCUCCAACUUCACUUGUCUUUUCUAAUGCAUCGAAGCAACCGAGCAAGAAGUAUCACUAAGAGGUUCUUCCGUCUUCACAAACCUUCCUCGUACCUUCGGUUGGCUAUCUGCAAGAGCCUCCCUGCGAGCAUACUGCAAAACACCAGACUUGCAUCACUUUGCAGAACUUGCGGUCUGGUUGAAAAAUGCAAGUUAAAAUUAGCACAAGGAUGGAACAAACAUGGACUCUUGCUUUAUCAGCAGCAACAGAGGUUCAGAAGUUUUAUGGAUCAGUCACUGUUCUUAAGACUUUGCUUCCAUAAGAAAGAAACUAUGCGGGGAACACAAGGAGAAAGAAAAGAAAUCAGGAACUUCUCAAUGGAAGAACAUUGGCUGUUGUCUUCCCUGUCCUCGUGCUUUUCUUGCCAAGAUUCUGCCAUAAAAGCUCAAUAAUUGGAGAAGUUCCCGAAGAAUCUUAAUCAUUUCCACUAAGUGCUUAAGCUGGAAGAAGUGAUGGCCAAGACAAGAGAAUGGCUUGAAGAAUUCCAACUACGGUAAGAUAAGGAAGAGAAAAAGGCAGAUUUACUACACUGGAAAGCAGAUCAUGAAGGAAAAGGUAGGCAUAUGCUGUCUUCCAAUUGGACCAAAGGAUCCAGGUUCUUCCUCUGACGUGGCUGAGUGAGGCCGAUGGCUUCACCUGUUUCCCGCCUGAUGACCUGAAAAAGAUGGUAUCCAAAAAUGGUGGGGACGAGAUAUUGUGGACUCUAUUUCCAUACAAACUCAAGAUAUGCUUUUCAGACUCUAUUUAUUGACAAUCGGAUAUCAUCGAGGAAUUUGUGCAAAUCUACUGUCAAUGCUGGUUGAUCCCAGGAGUUAUAAAUGGAAAGAUUUUAUGAUAUCAUUUGUUAUUUUUUCUUAAUUUUCUUUAUUAAGUUACUAAAUAAAGGGAAAAUUUUGAUGAGCAUGGUAGGUUGGUCAAUGGCAAAAAGGACAUGAACUCGAAGCAGGGAAAGGAGAGGAGAACAGGAGUGGGAAUCUAACAGAUCAAUCCACUUGUAAGAGAGUUGUGAAGAGUGUGAGUUGCAAUGGGAUUGGAAGCUUAACAAAGGACAACACCUCCAAAACCCAAACAUGAAUGAAUAGUUGGGAGGUGUGUGGGUUGUGAUGAGGUUGACAGCUUGACAAAGAGAACUUGUGCUUUUGAUUGAGCCUUCCCUGCCAUUACUUUGUUCCUCUUAUUUCUUCUGCCUGUUGAUGCGUAUCCACCAUUGAUGGCACCAACUCAGGUUAUGUUCUUCUCGGAAGUGCUUCCUUGAUGAGCUCGAGGCUGUCAGCAAAGUCAUCCAAGAGCUGGUGAGGGUCAGGUAUGGCCAAUUCAUCCACUG